RNAcentral lists this unclassified non-coding RNA (335 nucleotides) under soil metagenome. RNAcentral's name for it is "partial contains 5.8S ribosomal RNA, internal transcribed spacer 2, and large subunit ribosomal RNA". The stretch from base 1 to 120 matches the Rfam family "5.8S ribosomal RNA", at positions 35 to 154 of the family's 154-position model. The record is from RNAcentral.
GAUGAAGAACGUAGCGAAAUGCGAUAAGUAAUGUGAAUUGCAGAAUUCAGUGAAUCAUCGAAUCUUUGAACGCACAUUGCGCCCGCCAGUAUUCUGGCGGGCAUGCCUGUUCGAGCGUCAUUUCAACCAUCAAGCCCCCGGGCUUGUGUUGGGGACCUGCGGCUGCCGCAGGCCCUGAAAACCAGUGGCGGGCUCGCUAGUCACUCCGAGCGUAGUAGUUACAUCUCGCUCAGGGCGUGCUGCGGGUUCCGGCCGUUAAAAGCCUUUUACCCCAAGGUUGACCUCGGAUCAGGUAGGAAGACCCGCUGAACUUAAGCAUAUCAAUAAGCCGAGGA